This 253-nucleotide ribosomal RNA is filed under the name uncultured bacterium. Its description in RNAcentral is "partial 16S ribosomal RNA". It matches the Rfam family "Bacterial small subunit ribosomal RNA", at positions 524 to 776 of the family's 1533-position model. The record is from RNAcentral.
GACGGAGGGUGCAAGCGUUGUUCGGAUUGACUGGGCGUAAAGGGCGUGUAGGCGGUCGGCCAAGUCUGACGUGAAAGCCCGAGGCUCAGCCUCGGAAGUGCGUCGGAAACUAGUCGGCUGGAGCGCGAUAGAGGAGGGUGGAAUUCCUGGUGUAGCGGUGAAAUGCGUAGAUAUCGGGAGGAACACCGGCGGCGAAGGCGGCCCUCUGGAUCGUUGCUGACGCUGAGACGCGAAAGCGUGGGGAGCAAACAGG